AGACUCAACAAGAGCUCCAGCAAAGACUUUCACUGUAGCUUGACUUGACCUGAGAUUAACUAGGGAAUCUUGAGAAUAAAGAUGAGCUCUGAAAAUUGUUUCGUAGCAGAGAACAGCUCUUUGCAUCCGGAGAGUGGACAAGAAAAUGAUGCCACCAGUCCCCAUUUCUCAACACGUCAUGAAGGGUCCUUCCAAGUUCCUGUCCUGUGUGCUGUAAUGAAUGUGGUCUUCAUCACCAUUUUAAUCAUAGCUCUCAUUGCCUUAUCAGGUGGGUCUACACUUCAUCAAUUCUUUCAAAGCCUCCUAGCUGUAAGCAUUCAUGCCCAGCUGAAAUCAAUAUUAGUUUAGUCUAGUUAAUCAGAAACUAGCUAAUUCAGAAUCAUCCCAUGUACCAUAUAUGGCCAAUUUCCUAAUCAAUACUAAACAUAAUUCCACAAUCCUUGAAUAAUUAAUGUAAUACUUUUAUAAGUAUUAAAAGUAUCUAUGAUUUAUAUAUUACUGUAGAAUAAAAUUGCAUUUGAAAAGAUGUUUACAUCUAGAAUGAAGGGAGCUGAUUUGAAUUCUGAAUAAAUACCUAUUUAGCUAGAAAAAAAUGUGAACUUCAC
Molecule: long non-coding RNA, 605 nt
Filed under: Homo sapiens (human)
Lineage: Eukaryota; Metazoa; Chordata; Mammalia; Primates; Hominidae
Description: non-protein coding lnc-CD69-1:1
Source: RNAcentral